This 115-nucleotide small nuclear RNA is filed under the name Hucho hucho (huchen). RNAcentral's name for it is "U5 spliceosomal RNA (ENSHHUG00000032422.1)". It matches the Rfam family "U5 spliceosomal RNA". Rfam says of the family: U5 RNA is a component of both types of known spliceosome. The record is from Rfam by way of RNAcentral. Lineage: Eukaryota; Metazoa; Chordata; Actinopteri; Salmoniformes; Salmonidae.
ACAUUCUGGUUUCUCUUCAUAUCGCAUAAAUCUUUCGCCUUUUACUAAAGAUUUUGGUAGAGCGGAACAAUUAUUAGUAUCAACAAAAACAAAAUUGAUGCUGGGCUUCCUGUAA